This 253-nucleotide ribosomal RNA is filed under the name uncultured bacterium. Its description in RNAcentral is "partial 16S ribosomal RNA". It matches the Rfam family "Bacterial small subunit ribosomal RNA", at positions 524 to 776 of the family's 1533-position model. The record is from RNAcentral.
UACAGAGGUCUCAAGCGUUGUUCGGAUUCAUUGGGCGUAAAGAGCGCGCAGGCGGCCAAGUCAGUCGAAUGUGAAAGCCCCCGGCUCAACUGGGGAGGGUCAUUCGAUACUGCUCGGCUCGAAGACAGGAGAGGGAAGUGGAAUUCCCGGUGUAGUGGUGAAAUGCGUAGAUAUCGGGAGGAACACCAGUGGCGAAGGCGGCUCACUGGCCCGAUACUGACGCUGAGGCACGAAAGCGUGGGGAGCAAACAGG